GACGAACGCUGGCGGCGUGCUUAACACAUGCAAGUCGAACGGAAAGGCCCUGCUUUCGUGGGGUGCUCGAGUGGCGAACGGGUGAGUAACACGUGAGUAACCUGCCCUUGACUUUGGGAUAACUUCAGGAAACUGGGGCUAAUACCGGAUAGGAGCUCCUGCUGCAUGGUGGGGGUUGGAAAGUUUCGGCGCUUGGGGAUGGACUCGCGGCUUAUUAGCUUGUUGGUGGGGUAGUGGCUUACCCAGGCUUUGACGGGUAGCCGGCCUGAGAGGGUGACCGGCCACAUGGGGACUGAGAUACGGCCCAGACUCCUACGGGAGGCAGCAGUGGAGAAUAUUGCACAAUGGGAGGAAGCCUGAUGCAGCAGCGCCGCGUGCGGGAUGACGGCCUUCGGGUUGUAAACCGCUUUCGCCUGUGACGAAGCGUGAGUGACGGUAAUGGGUAAAGAAGCACCGGCUAACUACGUG
Molecule: ribosomal RNA, 468 nt
Filed under: uncultured bacterium
Lineage: Bacteria
Description: partial 16S ribosomal RNA
Rfam family: Bacterial small subunit ribosomal RNA
Source: RNAcentral